Molecule: ribosomal RNA, 1541 nt
Filed under: Escherichia coli
Lineage: Bacteria; Pseudomonadati; Pseudomonadota; Gammaproteobacteria; Enterobacterales; Enterobacteriaceae
Description: bacterial SSU rRNA
Rfam family: Bacterial small subunit ribosomal RNA
Source: RNAcentral
AAAUUGAAGAGUUUGAUCAUGGCUCAGAUUGAACGCUGGCGGCAGGCCUAACACAUGCAAGUCGAACGGUACAGGAAUCAGCUUGCUGAUUCGCUGACGAGUGGCGGACGGGUGAGUAAUGUCUGGGAAACUGCCUGAUGGAGGGGGAUAACUACUGGAAACGGUAGCUAAUACCGCAUAACGUCGCAAGACCAAAGAGGGGGACCUUCGGGCCUCUUGCCAUCAGAUGUGCCCAGAUGGGAUUAGCUAGUAGGUGGGGUAACGGCUCACCUAGGCGACGAUCCCUAGCUGGUCUGAGAGGAUGACCAGCCACACUGGAACUGAGACACGGUCCAGACUCCUACGGGAGGCAGCAGUGGGGAAUAUUGCACAAUGGGCGCAAGCCUGAUGCAGCCAUGCCGCGUGUAUGAAGAAGGCCUUCGGGUUGUAAAGUACUUUCAGCGGGGAGGAAGGGGGUAAAGUUAAUACCUUUGCUCAUUGACGUUACCCGCAGAAGAAGCACCGGCUAACUCCGUGCCAGCAGCCGCGGUAAUACGGAGGGUGCAAGCGUUAAUCGGAAUUACUGGGCGUAAAGCGCACGCAGGCGGUUUGUUAAGUCAGAUGUGAAAUCCCCGGGCUCAACCUGGGAACUGCAUCUGAUACUGGCAAGCUUGAGUCUCGUAGAGGGGGGUAGAAUUCCAGGUGUAGCGGUGAAAUGCGUAGAGAUCUGGAGGAAUACCGGUGGCGAAGGCGGCCCCCUGGACGAAGACUGACGCUCAGGUGCGAAAGCGUGGGGAGCAAACAGGAUUAGAUACCCUGGUAGUCCACGCCGUAAACGAUGUCGACUUGGAGGUUGUGCCCUUGAGGCGUGGCUUCCGGAGCUAACGCGUUAAGUCGACCGCCUGGGGAGUACGGCCGCAAGGUUAAAACUCAAAUGAAUUGACGGGGGCCCGCACAAGCGGUGGAGCAUGUGGUUUAAUUCGAUGCAACGCGAAGAACCUUACCUGGUCUUGACAUCCACGGAAGUUUUCAGAGAUGAGAAUGUGCCUUCGGGAACCGUGAGACAGGUGCUGCAUGGCUGUCGUCAGCUCGUGUUGUGAAAUGUUGGGUUAAGUCCCGCAACGAGCGCAACCCUUAUCCUUUGUUGCCAGCGGUCCGGCCGGGAACUCAAAGGAGACUGCCAGUGAUAAACUGGAGGAAGGUGGGGAUGACGUCAAGUCAUCAUGGCCCUUACGACCAGGGCUACACACGUGCUACAAUGGCGCAUACAAAGAGAAGCGACCUCGCGAGAGCAAGCGGACCUCAUAAAGUGCGUCGUAGUCCGGAUUGGAGUCUGCAACUCGACUCCAUGAAGUCGGAAUCGCUAGUAAUCGUGGAUCAGAAUGCCACGGUGAAUACGUUCCCGGGCCUUGUACACACCGCCCGUCACACCAUGGGAGUGGGUUGCAAAAGAAGUAGGUAGCUUAACCUUCGGGAGGGCGCUUACCACUUUGUGAUUCAUGACUGGGGUGAAGUCGUAACAAGGUAACCGUAGGGGAACCUGCGGUUGGAUCACCUCCUUA